This 1438-nucleotide long non-coding RNA is filed under the name Ursus maritimus (polar bear). Its description in RNAcentral is "lncRNA (ENSUMAG00000025276.1)". The stretch from base 469 to 541 matches the Rfam family "tRNA". The record is from RNAcentral. Lineage: Eukaryota; Metazoa; Chordata; Mammalia; Carnivora; Ursidae.
GCUCGCCAAGUUUUUACGGAGCGUCCGCGGUGUGCCAGGCCGACUCCGUGCAAAGUGGUGGUAGGUUCAACGGGCAUCCCGAGGACCCAGCGUCACAGGGAGGCUGCGAUCCUGCCUCCACGCCCUUGCCUGCCCCUUCAUCUCAAUAAUGAUAAAUGUGCACGAUCACAGCCAGGCGCGGAUGGGUGGGAAGGGCCUGCCUCUCGGGGCAGGGGUUCGCCCAGGGGACCACACCGCUCGAAGACCGCGGGGACGAGCCUGGGAGGACGAGCCCGCCCGCGGAAGCGCAGAGAGCCCAGUACCCGGCGCCCGGGAGCCUCGGGAUCCGUGUUGAUAAUUCAGUCCGAAAUUCGCAUUAUGUUGAAGAAAGACCAGGAAGGAACCCUCCCAAGUGGUGAUGGAGGAGAGACGGAAGGGGCGGACGCAAAUAGUUCAGUAAUAGCCUACUCUAAAGAGAUUUCAGAAGGCGCCGAAAUAGCUCAGUUGGGAGAGCGUUAGACUGAAGAUCUAAAGGUCCCUGGUUCGAUCCCGGGUUUCGGCAGCGCUCCUUUUUAGUCCGAAUGGAGUCAAAUUUCGAGUGAAUUCCUUACCCCGAGUAACGCGGCGCUUUAACGCCAGACCACUUGAAAACAAGGACUUGAAGGAUCAGCGAGCGAGGAGCGGAAACGGCGACUCUCAGCGCCACCCGGGACAGCGGCCGCCCCCACCCCCACUUCCGGGGCGCCUUCCCGGCUGGCGUCGGAGGCGCUGUUGCGCUUGCGCGGUGCGGAGCCCGGGCGCGCCCCCGGCGAGUGGAGGAUGCUGUUCGCCCGUUACCGGGGCCGCACUGCCUUGGGUGCUGGGGUGAGACAGCGCUCCAUGUGUCUCGCGGGGCGAGAAAGACAAUGUCACCCCAAAUUUCAUUCCCCAGAACAUCCCAGUUUGAAAAGCAAGACCCUGCUGUUGAAUCGAGCGGCCCCUCGCGGGCCUUGCCCGUAAAGGAACCCGGCGGCUCCGUAUUUCCGGUUAGAGGUACGGGCUGGGCCGCUCCGGGGCAUAAUUCGGGGUACUUGCCAAAAGGGUGAAAACGUGGCGGCAUCACAGCUCUGUUAAAUUAAUAUCUUGCGCCCAAACAACUUUAUUUGGAGGGUAGACCAGUGGUUCUCAAAGUGGGGUCCCCGGACCAGCAGCCUCGUCUUACACUGGGAGCUAGUUCGAAAUGCAGAUUCUGGGCCCUACCCCAGAGUACUGUAUCAGAAACUGGUUUCCAGCGUUAGGUGUUUUAACAGGCCUUGCGAAUGAGAUUCUGAAGCAGCUGAAGUUUGGGGAUCCACUUAUUCUAGACUUUCCUUUGUGUUUCUCAGAAGAGCUCUUUCCUAAGACUGUUUUUGUGAACAAGCUUUUUCCUUUUGCCGUCUUUUAUCCUGCAAGUCUGAAAUAAAACUUUGACUCGUGCUCG